This 334-nucleotide unclassified non-coding RNA is filed under the name fungal sp. Its description in RNAcentral is "partial internal transcribed spacer region". The stretch from base 1 to 46 matches the Rfam family "Eukaryotic small subunit ribosomal RNA", at positions 1786 to 1831 of the family's 1831-position model. The record is from RNAcentral. Lineage: Eukaryota; Fungi.
AAGUCGUAACAAGGUAACCGUAGGUGAACCUGCGGUUGGAUCAUUAACAAAUUUUAAAAUUGAGUUUCGAUCUUUCGAACUCUUUUUUUUCCACACCUGUUGAACUUUACCAUUGUUAUCGUCUUUUGGUAUUUUGGGAUUAGGGUUUUCCGACCUUUUUAUCAAUAUGCCAACUGACACAAAUCUCUUUCUGAUUCUCAAAAGAAAUUUAAAACUUCUUUUGAGGGUUUUUGGGAGGUUUCAAAUUUAAACAUUAUUCAAAUCUUACUGGCCUUAAAAAAAGAAAUUUUUAAAAUUUAAAAACAACUUUUGACAACGGAUCUCUAGGCUUCCA